CCUACGGGGGGCAGCAGUGAGGAAUAUUGGUCAAUGGCCGAGAGGCUGAACCAGCCAAGUCGCGUGAGGGAAGACGGCCCUACGGGUUGUAAACCUCUUUUGUCGGGGAGCAAAGCGAGUCACGUGUGACUCAUUGCGAGUACCCGAAGAAAAAGCAUCGGCUAACUCCGUGCCAGCAGCCGCGGUAAUACGGAGGAUGCGAGCGUUAUCCGGAUUUAUUGGGUUUAAAGGGAGCGUAGAUGGGUUUUUAAGUCAGUUGUGAAAGUUUGCGGCUCAACCGUAAAAUUGCAAUGGAUACUGGCAGCCUUGAGUACAGUUGAGGUAGGCGGAAUUCGUGGUGUAGCGGUGAAAUGCUUAGAUAUCACGAAGAACUCCGAUUGCGAAGGCAGCUUACUAAACUGCCACUGACAUUGAGGCUCGAAAGUGUGGGUAUCAAACAGGAUUAGAUACCCGAGUAGUC
This 460-nucleotide ribosomal RNA is filed under the name uncultured bacterium. RNAcentral describes it as "partial 16S ribosomal RNA". It matches the Rfam family "Bacterial small subunit ribosomal RNA", at positions 338 to 795 of the family's 1533-position model. The record is from RNAcentral.